RNAcentral lists this ribosomal RNA (453 nucleotides) under uncultured Paraprevotella sp. RNAcentral's name for it is "partial 16S ribosomal RNA". It matches the Rfam family "Bacterial small subunit ribosomal RNA", at positions 341 to 792 of the family's 1533-position model. Lineage: Bacteria; Pseudomonadati; Bacteroidota; Bacteroidia; Bacteroidales; Prevotellaceae. The record is from RNAcentral.
ACGGGAGGCAGCAGUGAGGAAUAUUGGUCAAUGGGCGUAAGCCUGAACCAGCCAAGUAGCGUGAGGGAUGACUGCCCUACGGGUUGUAAACCUCUUUUGUUUGGGAAUAAAGUAGACUACGUGUAGUCUUUUGCAUGUACCUUUCGAAUAAGCAUCGGCUAAUUCCGUGCCAGCAGCCGCGGUAAUACGGAAGAUGCGAGCGUUAUCCGGAUUUAUUGGGUUUAAAGGGAGCGUAGGCGGCCUGUUAAGUCUGCGGUCAAAUGUCAGGGCCCAACCUUGGCAUGCCGUGGAUACUGGCGGGCUUGAGUGCACACAAGGAAGGUGGAAUUCGUCGUGUAGCGGUGAAAUGCUUAGAUAUGACGAAGGACUCCGAUUGCGUAGGCAGCUUACCAGGCCGUAAAUGACGCUCAUGCACGAAAGUGCGGGGAUCGAACAGGAUUAGAUACCCUGGUA